UUUGGCUGCACUUUAUGGUUGAUGCAGUCAGCGACACACCUCCACAACAGCAGCUACAUGUCUUAUGUGCUCAAACCGCCCAACACCGCCCAACACAUGUUCUUCAUCAAAACAUGGCAGUAUGUAGUCUUAUAAAAGACUAUGGUUAUUGAGGUGCAGAUAUAGACCUGAUUGCAUAGGGAGUCAAUGCCGCCGAGUUCACCACAUUGCUUGACACCGUCUACAAGUACAAGUAUCUCAAGUAUGAACCGAAGCUUCACAUAAUCAUACCGGCGACGACGCUAGGAGCGGGGGUGCAAAAGGGAGGAUGGCGGCGGCUCGGGGAGGACGAUGUCGGCGGCGGAGGAGGAGGGAGGCGGCGCUCCGGUGUCGACGGGGUUGCGUCGGCAUCAGCGAGGCGAGGGUGUCGGCGAGCGGAGGGACGACGGCGAGGACCCAGGCGCACAUGCACGU
Oryza brachyantha (malo sina) is the source of this 453-nucleotide long non-coding RNA. RefSeq lists it as uncharacterized. The transcript has 3 exons. The record is from RefSeq and is a predicted model, not a curated record. Lineage: Eukaryota; Viridiplantae; Streptophyta; Magnoliopsida; Poales; Poaceae.